Non-coding RNA from Chrysemys picta bellii (western painted turtle), 1463 nucleotides. Lineage: Eukaryota; Metazoa; Chordata; Testudines; Emydidae. The record is from RefSeq and is a predicted model, not a curated record.
ACUUAUAAAAUGCAUAGGAAUAAACUCACUACACAUGGCUUUAUAAUGAGUGCAUUUAGUGCUUGUCACCUGGCUUUCCAGGAGACCAAAGCCCUCUCUCCAUAGUACAGGAAUCUUUCCCCAUACUGCAAAGCUGCACUGAAGAGGGACUACAUGGCCCAUUCAAUUGUCUCCCAUGCAAAACUACCAGCAAGGGGCCAAACAUUGCCAACGGUGGUUGUGCGUGAUACUGACAACUGGACUGAGACAAUAGCUCAUUUACAAUAAUAAUAAUCCCUAGCUCUUAUAUAGCACUUUUAAUCCAUAGAUAUCAAAGUGCUUUACAAAGGAGGUCAGUAUCAUUAUCCCCAUGUUACAGAUGGGGAAACUGAGGCAUGAGAAGCAACAAUCACCCUGCAGCAAUGCUGGGAGCAGAACCCAGCUCUCCUGAGUCCCAGCCCAGUGUGCUCCCCACUAGGCCCCACACUGCACCCCAGCCAUGAAACAAUUGUCAGAUGGUAGCAACUUUCCACCACUACUGACCUGUGGCUGGACUGACUAGGUGAUCUAAAGGGGAAAGGCUUUAUAUUCCAUUAUCACAUAAUUCCUCCAGUUUCAAAUAUUAAAUUAAUCCCUGUCUUUUCAGAUCAGCUCAGUCCAUUCUUGAAAUAAAUGAGGUAUAUAACAGCUUGAAAUCAAAGAAGAAUUCAGAUCAGCUGUUAAAAAAUUCUGUCAUGGUUGAUUAAUCUAUGAAUUAUUCAUCCCAGUGGUAGCUCUGGAUUGUUCAGCAGAGACACACUAUGCUGAUGGUGAAGUACCUCACCCAGCAAGGUGGAAGAAGAUAUAUACCAGUCUUUGGAACGGCCGGGGAACUUUACAGCAGGGAGUGGAAUGUUGCACGCAGCCAUUGAUGAAGCGAGCCAGUGCCUCUGCAAAGAAUCAAAGCAGUACAAAGUCUUUUAAUCUGAUACCAUGCGAAGAGCUGAUGUAAAGAGCUGCACAGAAUGCUCCAUUUGCAGCACAGGGCAGAAGGAAGUUUUAUUGGUCCUACAGAACUCUGGAACAAUGCUGCACAUUCUUAUGCGUCAUCUACUGGUACCUUAUCUACUAACUAACUAAUUUACAGAUAUCUCUUUUAUAUAGCACCCCUGUAACGGUUUGGAACUGGCCUCAAAGCCUGCAAACUACAUCCCCUGGAGCCCUUCAGCCAGCCCCCUGUCCCCAGCCUAGUGCUCAAGAGAGCAUUCGGCUGGAAUCCAUGGGGGAAAAUGAAGCUCCUGGGCUCGGUUGCCCUCUAUCCUUUUCCCCUCCAGCCACUCCACACACGCACAAAGCAGAGCAAGAUUUUACUCUAACUAAACUUCAGUAAAUCUCUUGUCAUUUUUCACUGCUUAAUUGCUGCCUUUCCCCAAAUUGCCAGUUUUGUUUCCUGCCAAAAAAAAAAUGGUACUUUUUUCCCCUUUCUGCGAGAUCACAGUUAUAAU